Long non-coding RNA from Episyrphus balteatus (marmalade hoverfly), 768 nucleotides. RefSeq lists it as uncharacterized. The record is from RefSeq and is a predicted model, not a curated record. The transcript is spliced from 2 exons. NCBI's taxonomy places the organism in Eukaryota, Metazoa, Arthropoda, Insecta, Diptera, Syrphidae.
GGUAUGCGUCUAAUAAAACGAAAGUUUUAAAACUUGACCUAUCUAAUCUUGUUCCCAACUUCCUUCUAUCACUCGCUUAUCACUCGAUCAUAAAACAAAGUGCUAUAAUGUUAUCUGUGAAUUAACAAUUAUUUACUUACCUACUUAAUUAUUAAUUUAUAGGAAUGACAACAAAGCCAUUACAUACUCAACACCUCGAUUCGAUAAUAGAAUAUCUACUUGAGAAAAACGUAUUGAAGGCUAAUUAACCUUUUUAUAUUGUUAACAAUUGUUGAGAGCGCAUACAAACAAUAGAGUAAAGUGUGGUUCAUCAUAUCAUAAGAGAGCUAACAAAACAUACUUAGCCCGGUCUUUAUAGUGGUGAUUAAUCGUUGACAAAUCGUAUAAACGCGAUUACUGUCACCGCACGCAAUGUGCCACUAUAAGAACAAAAUGCCAACAACAAGCCGAUCACAUUCGAGCUCGUCCAGUUUGUCUAGUCUGGUUUACUUCGUUGUGGCAGACUCUGGGACAAGAUGGAGCGCAAUCAUCGGUCGGCCGGCAUUGGUGUUGGACAUAUGGACGCAAUGUUGGACAACAUCACUCCACAUACCUGUGAACAGGCUUCUUCUGCCUAGAGACCAAUAUUCUGUACACAUAGAUAUACCUAUAACGUACAUUAUGUGAACAUGACAAAAAAAAAAUUGGUAGUAGGCCGCGCUAAAGAAGUAUGCAGCUUCUUAAUUGAAAUGUUUUGUGGCUAAUGAAAGUUAUUUUGUAAUGAAAUUA